UCGGGAAUAUUGCGCAAUGGAGGAAACUCUGACGCAGUGACGCCGCGUAUAGGAAGAAGGUUUUCGGAUUGUAAACUAUUGUCGUUAGGGAAGAUACAAGACAGUACCUAAGGAGGAAGCUCCGGCUAACUACGUGCCAGCAGCCGCGGUAAUACGGAGGAUGCGAGCGUUAUCCGGAUUUAUUGGGUUUAAAGGGUGCGCAGGCGGCGCGCCAAGUCAGCGGUCAAAGUUCCGGGCUCAACCCGGUGUCGCCGUUGAAACUGGCGUGCUCGAGUGCGUGCGAGGAAGGCGGAAUGCGUUGUGUAGCGGUGAAAUGCAUAGAUAUGACGCAGAACUCCGAUUGCGAAGGCAGCUUUCCAGCGCGCUACUGACGCUGAGGCACGAAAGCGUGGGGAUCGAACAGGAUUAGAUACCCUGGUAGU
This 422-nucleotide ribosomal RNA is filed under the name uncultured Porphyromonadaceae bacterium. RNAcentral's name for it is "bacterial SSU rRNA". It matches the Rfam family "Bacterial small subunit ribosomal RNA", at positions 355 to 794 of the family's 1533-position model. Lineage: Bacteria; Pseudomonadati; Bacteroidota; Bacteroidia; Bacteroidales; Porphyromonadaceae. The record is from RNAcentral.